AUGUCUGAAAGAACAGGAGAAUGUUCUUUUGAUGAUAUUAUUACCAGUAUUCGAUACUGGGUUAUUCGUGACAUUAUUAUACCUUCCCUAUUUAUUGCGGGUUGGUUAUUUGUCAGUACGGGUUUAGCUUAUGACGCAGACGAGACACAGGCGCUCUGA
This 159-nucleotide ribosomal RNA is filed under the name Triticum aestivum (bread wheat). RNAcentral's name for it is "partial small subunit ribosomal RNA". The record is from RNAcentral. Lineage: Eukaryota; Viridiplantae; Streptophyta; Magnoliopsida; Poales; Poaceae.